CGUCACCUCUCUCUCUUUCCUUCAAAUCACUGCAGCUCAUUUUUCAUUUGUGCCACCAGGUCAAUGGUCAAGACAUGCAGGAGGUCAGCCACCACGAGGCUGUCAGCGUCUUGAGGAAUGCUGGGAGCUGCAUAAAAAUGAAAGUGCUGAGGGAGCUAUGCGUGCCCUUGGAGCCGCGGAUGCACGAGAGCUUUGACACCAUGGAGACAGCAGACCUCCAGGUCAACCAAGAGUGGGAUGUUACCACGGACAAUAACAGAUCAAGUGGCCCACACUCCUCCACUGAUCCCAUGCUGGACUGCAACCCAACGGCCAACAGGAUGGAAGCUACGGUCUGCAAUGGAAAUGGACUGAAUGAUCCAGUACAGGACUUACGGCUGACGAAAGACACAGAGAGCUUCAAAAACAAUGCCCUACAGGUUGUGAAAAACACCAUGACGAUUCCUCGGAUUAUUCUGACUCACCCCUCUACCUCAGAUGAAGACGUGGAGCCCCUGACGCAGGGCUCAGAUGAUGGAGAUUUUGAUUCUGACUUCAGCGACUCGGACAGUCACAUCUACUCGGACUGUCUGAACAGCGCUUUCUAUCCUCUGUGAAAGAUAGAGAAACACACCAACUUCAGAUGUGCCUGUGUCCUCUGGUUAAGUGAAAUUGUUCUGGCUGUGGUCCACAAUUGCUGGAGCAGAAACUGAGUGACGUGGGAUCGAUACUUCAGGCAAAGUCCACAGUCCCAUGAUGCUUGCAUACCUAAAAAAACUGAACUGUUUAGUACACCAUUGUGUGA
RNAcentral lists this long non-coding RNA (784 nucleotides) under Sinocyclocheilus grahami. RNAcentral describes it as "lncRNA (ENSSGRG00000016833.1)". Lineage: Eukaryota; Metazoa; Chordata; Actinopteri; Cypriniformes; Cyprinidae. The record is from RNAcentral.